UACGUAGGGGGCGAGCGUUAUCCGGAUUCAUUGGGCGUAAAGCGCUCGUAGGCGGUCCGUUAGGUCGGGAGUCAAAUCCGGGGGCUCAACCCCCGCCCGCUCCCGAUACCGGCGGACUUGAGUUUGGUAGGGGAAGGCGGAAUUCCAAGUGUAGCGGUGGAAUGCGCAGAUAUUUGGAAGAACACCGGUGGCGAAGGCGGCCUUCUGGGCCACAACUGACGCUGAGGAGCGAAAGCUAGGGGAGCGAACAGG
Molecule: ribosomal RNA, 252 nt
Filed under: uncultured bacterium
Lineage: Bacteria
Description: partial 16S ribosomal RNA
Rfam family: Bacterial small subunit ribosomal RNA
Source: RNAcentral